Molecule: regulatory RNA element, 179 nt
Organism: Shewanella loihica PV-4
Lineage: Bacteria; Pseudomonadati; Pseudomonadota; Gammaproteobacteria; Alteromonadales; Shewanellaceae
Source: Rfam
CCGCCUGCGCCGGGAGUAUGGUGUCGAGAUCGCCAAGGCGAUAACUCGGACUUAAUAGGGAAUUGGGGAAGGCCUCGCGCCGCUAGCCCAAACUGUGCCCGCAACUGUGAGUGUGUUGCCUAGUCGAACCCGACCUGGUCGCCACGAGUCAGGAUACCUGCCUACUCUCCAACUACUAU